This is a long non-coding RNA of Ictalurus punctatus (channel catfish), 9868 nucleotides long. The record is from Ensembl. Lineage: Eukaryota; Metazoa; Chordata; Actinopteri; Siluriformes; Ictaluridae.
AUAUAAUAUAAUAUAAUAUAAUAUAAUAUAAAGUUCACUUGUGCAAGAAAAUGAAGCACUUAACACACCAGUACUUAACAGCUCAAAGCUCACAUCAUUUUGGAUACGGAAUGAAUUUUAUAUCCAUUGUACUGCGUUUAAUAGGCUACACUAAAACUUAUUUGAGAAUAUAUGCCUUAUAAACACAACCCAUUUCAGAUGAACAGAUUUAAAAUGAGAAAUGUAUUCAACAACAACAAAAAUGGCAUGUGAAAUAUGACUUUGUACUUUUUUUUCUUUUUUUUUUGGUGCGUUGUGAUUUAUUAAAACACCAUUGGGGAAGAUUCAAUUUGAUUACAGUUCUAUGAAAUCUAAAAUCGUACUGAGGUUUGGUUUGAUUCUGUUUUUCUGGUGUGAUUUCAGGAUCAUGGUUAAAAAAUGAAGCAAUAAAUAAAUAAAUAAAUAAAUAAAAAUCCAGAAACUGUUUACCCUGUGGAUUUCCCCUCCAUCCCUCCCCAGAUCUACAUUAUAUGAUUCACCAUCUCAGAUUGCUGCAUGGGAUUUUGUGAAAACGUUGUGCUUUUAUUUAUUUCAGUGAGUCACUUCAGCCGUUGUAUGUCACCACCUAGACGUCUGGACGGCAGAGAAUAUAUUGUCGUAAAGCGAUUUUUCUCCUGGACCAGAAUGGCUUUAAUCUGAUUAAUCUAGUCUAAUCAGACUUGCUUUCAAUGACUACAUUUACAUGGACAGCGGUAAUCUAAUUAUUGACUUUAUUCUGAAUAAGACAAUGUUGUGAUUAAGGUGUUUACAUGAGUUGCUUUUAGAAUAUUCCUUUCAUGUUCCUGUUUUACAUGUUAUAGAACAUAGAUGGAUUAACAGUACACGUCAUUACGUCACCGCGCCACGCCGUCCGACGUCCCUCCAGAAUUUCAUGUUUUAAUAUAGUUUGUCUUCGUUAUGGUACCGUAUACAGUUUUGGGUGUUCUUAUUUUUACGAAUGCUUCAAUUGCGGUUAAUUAUUUGUCAUGCUGUACGUGCUAAUAGGUGACUGCUUGAAGCCAUGGGCUGUGUCUGAAACCGCGUGUUUACCUACCACGCAGUUUUGGACGCAGCUGUGCUUUCUUGUUUGCUGUCAAACGGUUGAGCACUGACGUGUGUGUGUGUGUGUGUGUACGUGUCCUGUCACAAAAUGCGGUGAAAACUCCUACAUGACCUUAAUAGUGUGAUUAAGGUGUGUACAUGUCUGUAAUAUACAUUGAUAAUGCGACUAAAACAGGAAUACUCCACAGGUCUUAAUUUGAUUUGUGUUUACUUUGAGUAUGACUUUAAUCGGAUUAAGGUAAUUAAAAAUGGCUGUUUACAUGCUAGUUUCUUAAUCAGACUAUUGUCUUAAUCAGGUUAAUAUUGGAUUAUUGUUGUCCAUGUAAAUGUACUAAACAUACUGACUGUGUUUAACGAACCUCUAUGUUGAGCUAUUAUCAUUAGGAUGCAGUGUUCAAGAUAAUUUUAGCAUUUUAAUACCAAGUGAUGGUGUAUGAUCUUGUUAUGGGCACUUUAUCACCUUUUAGCUUGUUUGACCGGAGUUAUAUUGAUUUUAGUUGGUUUCCUAACAUUUCCACGAUGCAAAUUUGAUCACUUCCUGUAUUUGGGCCAAAAAACAACAUUCACUGGGACAACAUAACCACCUUUCUUUCUCAAGGGGGUCGAGACAUGAUGCCUUAAUUCAAGCUUGUGGUCCAGAUGAACUAGCUUUGUGUUGCAUGUUGAAAUGCAUCUUGGUCAAGUUAUUUUUAAAGAUGGUUUAUAAAUAAUUGAUAUCUUGGUUCUCUGUAGAUGCCUUUUGAACGUCCAGCAAUCCUUGUGGUAGUUACCCUCAAUGCUGGUCACAUUCUGGAGCUUUCAAAGUGUUUGGCUAUGGGGAGUAUGCUGAGGCUCGGACACGUACGGCAGCCAUGUUGAAUCAAGACUGUACAUUUUUUAAACACAGUGACACAUGGCAACUGCAGCAUGCAUGCCUCAGACACGUGAGGUUGGGAUGGGAGGUGGGAGUGAGGGCAGUACAAACCGGUAGGAGGAAGAAGAAUGGGAGGUUCUUGGUAUUCAGUGUAUUCCGUGGAGACCGGAAGCGGGCUUGUCUUGGUAUUCCACGGAGUUAUUACAUUUAGAAAAUCCGUCCUGGUUAGAAUUUUGAUGAACUUCACUGUAAGAGGAGUAAGCCUCAAAUGCCAGACAAAAACCACUUCUGCUGUAGCCAGAGCCGAAAAGACACAGUUCAGAGAUGAGAGAAACUGAGAGCCCAUAGAUCAGAUCAGGCCUGGGGGAUGCUGUUUUAGCGACUACUGACUGGACAAUAUCACUAUUUAUAGUUCUGUAAAUAGCCCUCAUGUGAUUGGUCUGGAAACACUACAGGCAAAUGGACAAAAAGACAAAGAACCCGUAACUGUUACUAUUAUUAGGUGCUCUCUUUGAAAGUGGAGCUUCAGCGUGUUGACUGCUAGAGAUGUGAGCCCUCAUGCAUGAAAGAAAAUGAUUUAAAAAAAAAAAAAAAAAACCAGGACACUUCACUAAUUCUCUUUGCUUCCUAACCUGAAGCUCUUAUCACCACUUGGAGGAUUUUAUAAAACAAAACAUUCAACCGAAGGUUAUGGAAUGAACACUGAAGAUGGGGAAAAGUUAAAAAUAAAAAAAUUUAAAUAAUGUAAAAAUAGUUAACAGUUUACAACUUUUAAACCAGUACAAAAUUCAAACCAGCAUCAAAUCCAGAAUUUGUAAUUAUUUAAUUAAAUUUUUUAAAGGCUAUAAAAAAAGAUGUAUUGUGACCUAUAUAAUUUAUCGCAGUGUCAGCCAGCCCUAAUUAUAAAUUGAGUAACAAAUGAGGGGAAAUAACGAGGUUUUUUUUUUUUUUUUUUUAAGUCGCUCUUUUAAAAGAGCAUCAUGCUGGUCAUAAGUAGAAUCAUUUACUUUCCUUAUAAAUCACUCAUUUUUAAAAAAUAAAAUUCUUUCUAAACUUCUACAUAGUAUAAAAAUACAGGCAUGUUGGUACGUGUGUGGCUAUGUCCUAAAUAUUGUGUUAAUGGAAAAACUGCAUAAGCACCUGUUAGCAUAAAUGGCUAAACCAUGUUUUAACAUGUAAUUUUAUACCUUCUGUUUUAGCCAGUAAUUUGGGGAGUGUAAAAUGAAAUAAGGCAAUCAUAGCCUGUAUACAAUUUAAAUGCUCAAUGUGGAUGAUGUGCUUGGCUGUGAUUUGGUAAGCGUUAGCAUAGCAUUCAUAACAGACAAUCUGUUAAAGGAAUGGGUUGACACAAAUUUUAUUUACAGUUUACACAGUUGAUUGGUUAACAGCUUUGCAGUGGUGCCAUGUAGUUAAUGGAGCUGACAAGGAAAUAAUUCUGUCUUACCCCAAAAAUAUUUUUACCAUUAAAUAUGUGCCCCAAAAAACAUUUUGACUUUGUAAUCAAAUUGUCAUUAAGUCAAAUGGCAAGGAGAUUGUAUUUACAAGUUUGAUUUACAAGUGGAUUUAUUGGCUUCAUUAUUUAACUUCCAAAAUUCUUGUACCUUGAAACUUGAGAUUUUUGGAAAACGGGCUUUAGAGGCAUGUUCUACAGUGUUGCUAACUGUAACACGACUGCUAAAUAGGCUCUUGAAUGGGGGGAGGGAGCGAGUUAAUUGUGCUAAGAAAAAAAAGCUAAUCUAAUUGUCCAAGAUGGCCGCUUCAUAGCAUGUGUUCUUCAGCUACACAGUUAAGUUUUGUUUAUAGUUUACCGUAAAGUCAUAUUGUAACAUUACUGACAUACGUUUAGCUCUGCCCUGACUCGUUGAGGGGAAAUCUCUCUCUCUCUCUCUCUCUCUCUCUCUCUCUCUCUCUCUCUCUCUCUCUCUCUCUCUCUCUCUCAUUCAUAUAUAUAAAAUUAUUAUAUAUACAUAUACAUAUAUACCUGUCGGUAUAUGUCUUAGUUUUGAAGCUGUGAUCUAAGAAACACCAAUAUCUCUGCCAUUGCAGAGGCAAAGUUCCUGGAACUUCUUAUAAGAAAUCGCUCCAUGUGAUACUUCUCUCAAUGUCAUACGCACAUUUCUUAUCAUUGACUCCCUUCCAUACAGACAGCAAUACACAAUGACUUCAUAAAAUUCUAAUUCUAAAAUUCUAAAAAGAUUCCUACUGGUCAGUGGAAAGGCUGCAUCAACCUUUCACUGUGCACAACAAGGGGAAAACCGCCUGCACGGCAACACUGACUUUCAGUCCAAAUUGUUGGGGAAAUUAGACAACACUCGCUGACUCAUCCACUGAAGGUAAAAAGUUUCAUUACAGAAAGAUGGUUAAUACAGGAUGGAAUAAAGCAGGAUGGAAUGAGAGCGCUCUGAAAUGCUUGUGCUGAACCACUACUAUAUAUAUGAAAUGCAGAGCAUGACAUAAUUCUGUGUACCGAUAAGAAGCAGUUUGAGGCAGUUCAAACAGACUUUGUUUCAGGGUCUUGGAAGAUGUGCAGAUGAACCUUGAACAGAAGAACAUGUUUGUGUCUCUAAGAUAAACUUUCUGUACUGAUCUCAGUGACAUGACAUGGCCGCCUUAGGCGUUCUCCUGAGAUGAACAGAAAAAGAACAAAACUAUUACAAAAUAAAAAUAAGUAAUUUCCCUCACAAUAUGCAGCAUUUCUCCCCUUAAUCUGAAGUACUUCAUGAGUUCUGCCAUUUUGUUUACUCCAAUUCUCCAAUUCUGUCUUGCUAACCUCCCUUUAUUGAAAUGGUCCUAAUGGAUUGGAUUAUAUUCCAGGAACCAGUUAUUACUUUUGCAGGCUAUAAUCUCCUUCCUCUUAAAAAUGAUGGAAUUUGAAUAUCUAGGCAGUGCUACUUUUAACAGCAACCGUUGCCAUGUUAUGUGGCUGACUAGCCGAGUUGUUAGCUGUAACAGUCACAAAGUGGAGUGGAGGAGGGUUAUGUAAUAGUAAAUCGGAUCAAAAUGGCCAUCUGGUUCACCAUGGUGGACGGCGUAUGUGAUUUAGAUUCCAGCGUGCUAUUUGUUAGCAUCGGCUAGCUGUUUAUUGAACCGGAAACCCAUUGGUGUUUUUGAGCAUAUGAACAAACCAUGUGAGGAACUUUAGAGGGUUUCCCUUUCCUUGUGUAGUGUUGUGGUGGCUGCCAUAGAAAGCCUGAUGCGUUCUGACAGCUGGCAGUGUAUUCAACUCUGUGUGUGUGUGUGUGAGAAGGUGUGUCUGAUGGAGUGAGAGAGCGACAGUCCGCUUUGUGAUUGGCUGUGCAGGGUAUAUAAAGGGUUGGAGCUUUAGAGUUUCCACAGUUCCUCGUGCUGUAGCUUUGAGUCGAGUGUAUUACUAGCUGUUUUAACCACAAAGGGUUUUUUUUGGUGGUUUUCAGUUACAUCCGUUAGUGUUUUUGGAUGUUUUUUUUUUUUUUUUUCUAACCCUGGAGGAAGUUUUCAAACUACAUAUCCUUUCAUUCUUUACAUCCUGUUUUGGCGAGAGUGGUAGUUGCAAUCAGGUUGGUCAGAUACUGGAUAUGUAGAUGAGUACCUCCCCCCCCGCUUUCACCUCCUGUACACUCUUUUCCUAUAUCCAGAGAUUUUAAAAGACUUUGAGACUCUAUAACACCUUUUCCAGAUUGAAGCGGGACUUAUUCUUUUCUUUUUCUUUUCCUCUUGUCUACCAACUCCCCAAAACCUCUAAACCUGCAAACUUUAUUGGAUCCUUGAACUUCUGGCUCGCUUUCCCGUUAAAUCCGUAGAACACUGUAAAAUGGUGCAUGUAGUUAAGAAGACGUAGCCAUGCCUCGGUAUGUGUGUUUCUCUGCAGUGCUUCAAUCACUGCUCAGAUCAUGCGCAAAUAUGCUUAUGUAAGAAGUGUUGCACCCCUUAUAUUUAGUGCUGUGGAUGUGGGCCAGUUAGUUUGUGCCCAAACUAAGACCACAUGGAAGUCAGACAUGCAGGCACGUGGAUCUGCUUCUCUGCAGGAGUCCAGGAUCAGCUUUAGUCUAGUUUGACAAUUUUGCUCAAGGCUAGAGGUGUCCGUUUUCUCGAUCCAUGACUUGUAUAACCCGACCAGUGCCGAGAGCUCAGAUCUUUUAGAGAGACACUCCGUGGCUGUUCCAGCUCCAUACUGUUCAGAACCAACAGACAUGAUUAUCAGACUGGGACGCCUGACUCCUGGAUACUUCCGUCUCCUGCAGAGGCAGGUAGCUGGUGAGAUUCAGACCCAGCCUCAGGAUGGCUCCCUUAACCAAAUUGCCAUGAUGCUUGCCAUUAUGGGUCUUGGCCUGUCCUACUACAGUGCCAAGCAGAUGACCGAGAAGGUGCAGCAUAGCCCGGUGCCCUGAACACAACCAUGACCUCUGAUCCAUUUGACUCCCUGCGGCGGAACAAAAGCCAAAUCGGAGAUGGCGGGUUGGAAGAAGACCUUAUCCAGGACUUCAUGUACACUACUUCACCAGAAGCCUGGAUGUUCUGAGUUUAGUCGGCAUGAGACGAGUACAGGGUUUUUAGCAAGCAAUGUCAACAAAAAAAUAGAGUUCAGAUAUGACCUGUGUCUUGAUAGUUGCACUGGUACAUUCAUCAGGGUCCUUUAAUACCUCUGAGGCCAAAAUUUUGGCUUAUCUUCAGUGAUUCCUAUUUAAAGGGAAUGAGCCAGUCACUGGUACUUUGGUGUAGAAUAUAUGCCCUUUUAAAGGGAAACCCUCUGCCUUCUGUAUCAAGCAACUGUUAAACGCAGGUCACUAAAAAACUAGGGAUAUAUAUAUAUAUAUUUUUUUUAUUAUUAUUUUUGUGAAAAGCUGCUUAAAUGGAGACUAGGCAUCGCAGGAAUCCUUCAAACUCGCACUGGAAGAGCAGUACCAAACUACACUAUAUGAAAUUAAAGGCCCAUUCGGUGUUACACACAGAUUUAUUGUACUGUUCUAAGUAGCCAUGUUUUUGUGACGUUUUUGAGCAAAGACCUUAAAUGUUAAAGGGAUGUUAACAAGUGCAUGUGUGUUGAGAUUUUAAAGAAUCCAAUAUGUGAUCUUGUCAAGUGAUUUUUAUAUGAAUGUAUGUUGAUUAUUUAAAAUUGGAUUAAAUAAAGCUGUGAACAUUUUUGAACAAGUCAUGGACUGUGAUGUAUUGACUGAAAAGUUAGAAUUUCUAGUACGAUAUUUUCUCCCUCAUGUCCAUUCCAAUCUUCCCUAUUGCGUGAUCUUGACCGCAUAUCUGCAAAUCAAAGCACAUGAUGGGAGAUUCCUGGGAUAUAUACUAACUUAUGCUGCAUAAAUAUAUUAAAUCUGUUGCUACACUUGAAAAUCCCCAGACUGGCCUGUUUGACAGGAAGUGGAUUAAAAGGCUUUGUGGAUAGAAUUUGUUUCUGCUGGUCAGAUGCAAGUUUAUUAAAUUCAGUUUCUGUGCUUUAGGUAAAACGAGUCAGCUGACAGUUCUGCUUCUCAUAAGAUCUGGCUCAGCAAAAUCAUUUCCUGUAUCCCCACUGAAGCAUGCCAUCUGCUAAGCAGGAAGUGGUCAUGCGUGCAGAUGGGAACUUCCUCUGUAUGCUGGCCUAGUAGUAAUAUAGCAACUGAAUAGUGUGCAGAAACUGUGAUUGGAAACUCUGGCCCAAGUUGAUUGAUUAAAUCAGGUAUGUUUGCCUAGGAGGAAAAAGUGCAGUGUUGUGGUCUGCUGUAUGUGUUUGUGCCUUGGAUGUGCCCUGAUUUCACACUCGCAAAUGCCACGGUGCUGAAGUUGUGCCAAGUUUGUCUUAUGCAACCUUUGCAUUUUGCUUAUGGGACCAGUUUGGCUAGUUUUUUUUUUGUUGUUUUUAAGUCCUGACUAUCAGUAAUCGCCAAAAUGCAGAUUAUACUAUUUGUAUUUUCCAUAAAUCAUAUUUCUUUUAGUCAGAAAAUGGUGAUUCUGCAGUUUGUUUCUAUUCCUUUUUUAAUGCAGCAAACACUGCUGUAUGGAAACUUAAGGGAAGUCUGAGUUGGAAAUCCUGCACCAGAGGAUUGGUACAAACUUUGCUGGGGUGUUCAGUCUUAUUCGGAAAGGGCUGGUGUGGGUACAGGUUUUCGAUCCGAGCCACAGCGGAGUCUACGGAAAGUCAAGCUCAACUGGUGGAAUCAGGUGUGCGCUUGAUUGGAAUAUGAACCUGUACGCACAACGGCCCUUUGUGGAUAUGAUUGGACACCCUGGUCCAAGGACUUAACUACCACUUUACCAAAAAUUGACCUAUAAUAUCCACCAAAGGCCUACAGUGUGCUUACAGGUUUUCAUUCUAACCAUGUACAAGUAACACCAGAUAGUUGAAUGAAGUCUAAGCUCACCUGAGUACACAGGUGGAAUCAGGAGUGGUUUGUCCUGAUUGUUUGGAAUGAAAACCUGCAGUCACACUGGCAUUUUACAGAACCUGGGCUUUGUGUCAAGCACUUAAAUAAGAACUGAGUGGUUCCUUAUUUCCUGGUGUGAGCUCGGGGUUACGUUUGAUUAGUUCGCAGAGCAACCCUUGCUGGAAAAAUAUCUGCAGUGUGUAAAGACUUGUGCCCCCAGUAUAUUGUGUAUAAUAAUAGGAAGAUUGUCUAAGGUUUAUUUUGAAAUCUGAAGUGAUUUGGUUGGUCGGUGAGCUCCUUUAGCUUGAAAAAGACAGACUUUCACAGGGCUAUGGGAGUGUGAGGAUCCUUGCAGAUCUGAUAGCCUAAAAAUACUGAAAGGAAACAAUGGUUGGUUGGCGUUAAAGAGGCAUCAUACACAAAACCCUUUAAAGUCUUUUUAAUUUCCUCUCAGUCUGUAUGGCUGGAUCAUACUAGUGCAUUUAGAUUAUUUGUGCAUAGUGAAGAUGUCGUGCAUGAUGCUCCCUCCACACAUGGCGGAUGCUGCUGGGUAUUUUGCUCCCUCCCAAGCUGUGCUGAUUCACUUGUGGAAGAUGUGAUGCACCCUGACAGGGCAGAACAAUGUCUGCUUAAAUGUGAACCUCUCCCACCAGUAUGCAUCACUGGGCAAUUCGACCAAAAAAAGAUUCAGGCUGCAAAGGCAAGUUCAGGACACGAGAGCCGUGCUCUCAUUGGCUGGUGUGAUCACGUGUCAGGAAGUCAUCACAAUUCUGAGCCAUAGAGACAAAGCGAAGGGAUCACGCCAGAGAUAUGGAAGGGAUAGAGACAGUACAACAUGUCUGUUUUUAACACAAAAGCAUUGAUGGAUGAAAAAGGAUCUAGGCUUACUAUGUACUCAGCCGUUUAUCUUCUCAGUUUAGAUAACUGGAUCAGUAAUGUGCUUGAAGUAUGUUUUUUUUUUUUUUUUUUUUUUUUUAAACUGUGCAAGUUGCGUAUCACAAUAUACACACAAUCUAAUCCUUUAACAUUCAACAGUGGUAAUGUCCCAAUGUUUCAACACCGUGUGUCAGAGCACUGUUUCGAGUUAAGGAAUGUAUUCAUUAAUCGAUUUCCCUUCUUAGAUUUUAUAUGAAGAAGGUUUAUAUUCAUUUUUAAUAUUAAUUUAGAAGCUUUCUAUUCAUUUUGUGAAAGACAUUAUUCAAAACAAUUUCCUCUUUUAUUAGUUUGUUGUUACAUUGAGAUGCCUAAACAGAGUGCAAUUACAAUAUCCAUGUACCUUUUUAUAAUCUUUCAUAUUGCUGCUAAAACUGUGAGAUCAAAAUGUUAGUGAAUAGAGGUGGCUUAGCGGUUAGCACGUUCGCCUCACAUCUCCAGGGUUGGGGGUUUGAUUCCUGCCGCUGCCCUGUAUGUGCGGAGUUUGCAUGUUCUCCCUGUUGUGCACGGGUUUCCUCCCCCAGUUCAAAGACAUGCAUGGUAGGCUGAUUGGCAUGUCCAAGGUUUCCAAAGUGUAUGAAUGGGUGUGUGAUUGCGCCCUGUGAUAGAUUGGCACCCCGCCUUGUGCCCGAUGAUCCCUAGUAUAAGUUCCAGGUCCCCACGACCCUGA